RNAcentral lists this ribosomal RNA (939 nucleotides) under Streptomyces brevispora. Its description in RNAcentral is "bacterial SSU rRNA". It matches the Rfam family "Bacterial small subunit ribosomal RNA", at positions 59 to 1012 of the family's 1533-position model. Lineage: Bacteria; Bacillati; Actinomycetota; Actinomycetes; Kitasatosporales; Streptomycetaceae. The record is from RNAcentral.
AAGUCGAACGAUGAAGCCUUACGGCGUGGAUUAGUGGCGAACGGGUGAGUAACACGUGGGCAAUCUGCCCUUCACUCUGGGACAAGCCCUGGAAACGGCGUCUAAUACCGGAUAAUACUUUCUCUCUCAUGGGCGAAGGUUAAAAGCUCCGGCGGUGAAGGAUGAGCCCGCGGCCUAUAAGCUAGUUGGUGGGGUAAUGGCCUACCAAGCCGAUGACGGGUAGCCGGCCUGAGAGGGCGACCGGCCACACUGGGACUGAGACACGGCCCAGACUCCUACGGGAGGCAGCAGUGGGGAAUAUUGCACAAUGGGCGAAUGCCUGAUGCAGCGACGCCGCGUGAGGGAUGACGGCCUUCCGGUUGUAAACCUCUUUCAGCAGGGAAGAAGCGAAAGUGACGGUACCUGCAGAAGAAGCGCCGGCUAACUACGUGCCAGCAGCCGCGGUAAUACGUAGGGCGCAAGCGUUGUCCGGAAUUAUUGGGCGUAAAGAGCUCGUAGGCGGCUUGUUGCGUCGGAUGUGAAAGCCCGGGGCUUAACGCCGGGUCUGCAGUCGAUACGGGCAGGCUAGAGUGUGGUAGCCGAGAUCGGAAUUCCUGGUGUAGCGGUGAAAUGUGCAGAUAUCAGGACGAACACCGGUGGCGAAGGCGGAUCUCUGGGCCAUUACUGACGCUGAGGAGCGAAAGCGUGGUGAGCGAAUAGGAUUAGAUACCCUGGUAGUCCACGCGGUAAACGUUGCGAACUAGGUGUUGGCGACAUUCCACGUCGUCGGUGCCGCAGCUAACGCAUUAAGUUCGCCGCCUGGGGAGUACGGCCGCAAGGCUAAAACUCAUAGGAAUUGACGGGUCCCCGCACAAGCAGCGGAGCAUGUGGCUUAAUUCGACGCAACGCGAAGAACCUUACCAAGGCUUGACAUAUACCGGAAAGCCGUAGAGAUACGGC